This 429-nucleotide ribosomal RNA is filed under the name Gemmatimonadota bacterium. Its description in RNAcentral is "Gemmatimonadetes bacterium partial 16S ribosomal RNA". It matches the Rfam family "Bacterial small subunit ribosomal RNA", at positions 355 to 776 of the family's 1533-position model. The record is from RNAcentral. Lineage: Bacteria; Pseudomonadati; Gemmatimonadota.
UAGGGAAUUUUCGGCAAUGGACGAAAGUCUGAUCGAGCAACGCCGCGUGAGUGAAGAAGGUUUUCGGAUCGUAAAACUCUUUUGGUAGAGAAGAAAAAGGACGUUAGUAACUGAACGUCCCCUGACGGUAUCUAACGAGAAAGCAACGGCUAACUACGUGCCAGCAGCCGCGGUAAUACGUAGGGGGCGAGCGUUGUCCGGAUUUAGUGGGCGUAAAGCGAGCGCAGGCGGUUUCUUAAGUCUGGUGUGAAAGCCCCCGGCUCAACCGGGGAAGGUCAUUGGAAACUGGGAGACUUGAGUGCAGCAGAGGAGAGUGGAAUUCCAUGUGUAGCGGUGAAAUGCGUAGAUAUAUGGAGGAACACCAGUGGCGAAGGCGGCUCUCUGGUCUGUAACUGACGCUGAGGCUCGAAAGCGUGGGGAGCAAACAGG